UGCUAGUCGCACGAGUUCAGACUCGUGGCGAAUAGCUCAGUAACACGUGGCCAAACUACCCUUCGGAGCACGAUACCCUCGGGAAACUGAGGCUAAUAGUGCAUACCACAAUCCAGCUGGAAUGAGGAUUGUGCCAAAUGCUCCGGCGCCGAAGGAUGUGGCUGCGGCCGAUUAGGUAGACGGUGGGGUAACGGCCCACCGUGCCAAUAAUCGGUACGGGUCAUGAGAGUGAGAACCCGGAGACGGAAUCUGAGACAAGAUUCCGGGCCCUACGGGGCGCAGCAGGCGCGAAACCUUUACACUGCACGCCAGUGCGAUAAGGGAAUCCCAAGUGCGCAGGCAUAGAGCCUGCGCUUUUGUCCACCGUAGGGAGGUGGACGAAUAAGGGCUGGGCAAGACCGGUGCCAGCCGCCGCGGUAAUACCGGCAGCCCAAGUGAUGGCCGAUUUUAUUGGGCCUAAAGCGUCCGUAGCUGGCCGCACAAGUCCAUCGGAAAAUCCACCCGCUCAACGGGUGGGCGUCCGGUGGAAACUGUGUGGCUUGGGACCGGAAGGCGCGACGGGUACGUCCGGGGUAGGAGUGAAAUCCCGUAAUCCUGGACGGACCGCCGAUGGCGAAAGCACGUCGCGAGGACGGAUCCGACAGUGAGGGACGAAAGCCAGGGUCUCGAACCGGAUUAGAUACCCGGGUAGUCCUGGCCGUAGACAAUGUCUGUUAGGUGUGGCUCCCACUACGAGUGGGUGCUGUGCCGUAGGGAAGCCGCUUAACAGACCGCCCGGGGAAGUACGUCCGCAAGGAUGAAACUUAAAGGAAUUGG
This 816-nucleotide ribosomal RNA is filed under the name Halorubrum sp. LpC3. RNAcentral describes it as "bacterial SSU rRNA". It matches the Rfam family "Archaeal small subunit ribosomal RNA", at positions 52 to 868 of the family's 1478-position model. Lineage: Archaea; Methanobacteriati; Methanobacteriota; Halobacteria; Halobacteriales; Haloferacaceae. The record is from RNAcentral.